RNAcentral lists this unclassified non-coding RNA (253 nucleotides) under uncultured Alphaproteobacteria bacterium. RNAcentral describes it as "contains 16S-23S intergenic spacer region". It matches the Rfam family "Bacterial small subunit ribosomal RNA", at positions 524 to 776 of the family's 1533-position model. The record is from RNAcentral. Lineage: Bacteria; Pseudomonadati; Pseudomonadota; Alphaproteobacteria.
GACGGAUGGGGCUAGCGUUGUUCGGAAUUACUGGGCGUAAAGGGCGCGUAGGCGGCCAAUUAAGUUAGGCGUGAAAGCCCCAGGCUUAACCUGGGAAUUGCGUUUAAUACUGGUUGGCUAGAGUUCGGUAGAGGAAAGCGGAAUUCCUAGUGUAGAGGUGAAAUUCGUAGAUAUUAGGAAGAACACCAGAGGCGAAGGCGGCUUUCUGGACCGGGACUGACGCUGAGGCGCGAAAGCGUGGGGAGCAAACAGG